RNAcentral lists this unclassified non-coding RNA (194 nucleotides) under Ballistosporomyces xanthus. Its description in RNAcentral is "ITS 2". The record is from RNAcentral. Lineage: Eukaryota; Fungi; Basidiomycota; Agaricostilbomycetes; Agaricostilbales; Chionosphaeraceae.
ACCCCUCUCCACCCCGCCCUGUUACAGGGUUGCUCGGGCUGGGAUCAUGGACGCUUUGUCGGCUUUGGCCGACUGCGCUGAAAUUGAACAAGCUGAACCCCACCUUGCGGCUUGACCUGUUGUUGUAAACUAAAUUCAAUGGGAACGCGAGCGAGGGACGAGCUUACCAGAACCGCCUUCGGGCACAGUGCAUU